This 19-nucleotide ribosomal RNA is filed under the name Oedogonium donnellii. Its description in RNAcentral is "partial 18S ribosomal RNA". Lineage: Eukaryota; Viridiplantae; Chlorophyta; Chlorophyceae; Oedogoniales; Oedogoniaceae. The record is from RNAcentral.
UUCCGUAGUGAACCUGCGG